Macaca mulatta (Rhesus monkey) is the source of this 1732-nucleotide long non-coding RNA. The record is from Ensembl. NCBI's taxonomy places the organism in Eukaryota, Metazoa, Chordata, Mammalia, Primates, Cercopithecidae.
AGACGCCCCGGGCCGAGCCGACCGCCGCCGCGGAUCGAGGGAGGGAGCCCCGGCCUCCUCACCGUUCAGGAGAGCUGAGGAUGUCAGACAGGCCACAGCCCCUCCAGACGCCCUAUGGGAUAAUCCGUCCUACCUUUGCCUCAGGUAGCUGGGACCACAGGCACCUAACACUUCCAGCUUCCGCGUCCUUGGCUGCAGCCCCCAUCGCCCCCUCCCGCCCCCACAUCCACCAUCACGCGGCUUCUCCUGUGUCUCUGUCGCCGUGUGCUGCCCUUCUUAGGAUGCCAUCGCGUUGGAGCGGGACCACCCAGCCAAUUACAUCCGCAAUGACCCUAUUCCCAUGCCACAUUCUAAUAGACCAGCGGCUACGACUGGAUCCUAUCUGUUUGGGAACCACCAUUCAGCCCUGGACCUGUGUGGGGCUGAUAGCCCCCAGUGCUGGCUCCCCCAGGCCACCCUGCAACCACCCUCAUCAUAGAUGCCACGACAGUGGAGGCCAAGGGCCCUUCCUGGUGCCCCGGUGAGUGGCAUGGCCAGGACCUGACCCUCCCAUGCCUCUGUGGCAGAGCAAGGUGGGUGGGGAACUGGCUGUCCUGCUCCCAGCGGCAUUCCUGGCACCUAUGCCCCGCCCAGCCCAGAGCAGAUGUCAACACACAUCUGGGUGUCAGGCAGCCCCGUGUCACUGAGUGGGGUAAACAAGGAGGGUGAAGGAAGGUCAGAAGGCCAUGGCUGAGGGCGUAGGUGUGGGCUCUAGCUCUUGCUUCCCAGAACACAGACUGACCUUGGUGCAGACCUCACCGUGGGAGCCCCCAAAAGCUGCUUGCCUGGGGCCUCCAGGCCUCUUGCGGGUCCCUAAAAGCACAGGGAUCCAGGACAAGAGGUGCGGGGGCCCCCGCCUGGGCACCAGCCUGCAUGGGCCAGAGCAAGCCACUUCCCCUCAGGUUUGGGGAAUGCCUGAGUCAGACCUGCAGAGGCAACUUCUCCAUCUGCCUGGCUCCCAAGCCCUGUGGCAGGAGGGGAGCCAAGAAAUGAAAGGGCCCGGUGGGUGUGGACCGGGCCCUGUUUCCAUCUGGACUUGGCCAGUGCCUGUGGCACGCCCUGCUCUGUCCCUGGGGCACCCGGGCAUGUGGCUCAGCUGAAAGGGUGACCAUGGGCACCAUCUGCCUGGCUUCCAGGUCCUGAGGCCGGAGAGGAGCCAAGAAAUGAAAGGGCCUGGUGGAUGUGGGUGGGCCUCAGUGUCUGCCUGCUCCAGAGGAGGGGGUGGGCACUGACUCCUGGUUGAGGGCUGGGGGCAGGGAGGCUCCUCUGGACAGGAAGAUCCUCCAGGAACAGACCAGCAAGACGGCACUGUCCAGAUGGGACAGGAGCCGGACAGCGGCGUCAGACACGCCCCACAGCGGCCCACAACCACAGCCACUUCCCAGAGGUCAAGACCUGGAGGCUGGCCGGGCCGUGGUGGCUCACGCCUGUAAUCCCAGCACUUUGAGGGCCGAGGCAGGCGGAUCACAAAGUCAGGAGAUCGAGACCACGGUGAAACCCCGUCUCUACUAAAAAUGCAAAAAAUUAGCUGGGCGCGGUGGCGGGCGCCUGUGUUCCCAGCUAAUCCGGAGGCUGAGGCAGGAGAAUGGCGUGAACCCGAGAGGCGGAGCUUGCAGUGAGCCGAGAUGGCGCUACUGCACUCCACCUGGGCGACAGAGCGAGACUCUGUCUCAAAAAAAAAAAAAAAAAAAAA